RNAcentral lists this ribosomal RNA (469 nucleotides) under uncultured bacterium. RNAcentral's name for it is "partial 16S ribosomal RNA". It matches the Rfam family "Bacterial small subunit ribosomal RNA", at positions 28 to 507 of the family's 1533-position model. The record is from RNAcentral.
GACGAACGCUGGUGGCGUGCUUAACACAUGCAAGUCGAACGGAAAGGCCCUGCUUGCAGGGUGCUCGAGUGGCGAACGGGUGAGUAACACGUGGGUGAUCUGCCCCUUACUUUGGGAUAAGCCUGGGAAACUGGGUCUAAUACUGGAUAGGACCAUGCUGUAGGUGGUGUGGUGGAAAGAUUAGUUUCGGUAAGGGAUGAGCUCGCGGCCUAUCAGCUUGUUGGUGGGGUAAUGGCCUACCAAGGCGUCGACGGGUAGCCGGCCUGAGAGGGUGGACGGCCACAUUGGGACUGAGAUACGGGCCAGACUCCUACGGGAGGCAGCAGUGGGGAAUAUUGCACAAUGGGCGCAAGCCGGAUGCAGCGACGCCGCGUGGGGGAUGACGGCCUUCGGGUUGUAAACUCCUUUCAGCCAUGACGAAGCCCUUGUGGUGACGGUAGUGGUAGAAGAAGCACCGGCUAACUACGUG